UGGGGAAUAUUGCACAAUGGGCGCAAGCCUGAUGCAGCCAUGCCGCGUGUGUGAAGAAGGCCUUCGGGUUGUAAAGCACUUUCAGCGGGGAGGAAGGCGGUGAGGUUAAUAACCUCACCGAUUGACGUUACCCGCAGAAGAAGCACCGGCUAACUCCGUGCCAGCAGCCGCGGUAAUACGGAGGGUGCAAGCGUUAAUCGGAAUUACUGGGCGUGAAGCGCACGCAGGCGGUUGAUUGAGUCAGAUGUGAAAUCCCCGGGCUUAACCCGGGAAUUGCAUCUGAUACUGGUCAGCUAGAGUCUUGUAGAGGGGGGUAGAAUUCCAUGUGUAGCGGUGAAAUGCGUAGAGAUGUGGAGGAAUACCGGUGGCGAAGGCGGCCCCCUGGACAAAGACUGACGCUCAGGUGCGAAAGCGUGGGGAGCAAACAGG
Molecule: ribosomal RNA, 429 nt
Filed under: Chloroflexota bacterium
Lineage: Bacteria; Bacillati; Chloroflexota
Description: Chloroflexi bacterium partial 16S ribosomal RNA
Rfam family: Bacterial small subunit ribosomal RNA
Source: RNAcentral